RNAcentral lists this unclassified non-coding RNA (1740 nucleotides) under Patiria miniata (bat star). RNAcentral describes it as "proton-coupled folate transporter-like, transcript variant X2". Lineage: Eukaryota; Metazoa; Echinodermata; Asteroidea; Valvatida; Asterinidae. The record is from RNAcentral.
CGGCACAAAAAGUUGCUAAAAUUUUGGAUAUUUUGCUGUCAUAAAUUUCAUGCCUAUGUUUGUGGCUCGUGGGUAAUCGUGGUGAGAAUAACAAGACCAUUACGUUUAUGGUCUACUGACGUGAUCAUCAGGAUCAUCAACAUCGGAUGGCACAUCAUAGCGGCAGCAUAGUUGAAAGCAGCUGGCCUUGCCGGUACGGUCUGGCAUGUGUACACGUCUGACGGCAGAUGUUACUUUGACCUUUUAUACUCACAGCUCGCAUAGGCCCAGUCAACAAAACAAUUGCAUUUCCUUUCAACUGAUUUUUUGACUAACGUGAUCGGUUCGUGGUGAGUCAUGUACACUUUCUCCAUGGUCGGUGUUCAACAACAUUCAACGGAGAUGGCUGCACACAAACAUCCCCGGCUAGGCCCACUGGUUAUGGGCCAAUAUCUGGUGACAUACAAUGUCCAAAGAAGUUGAAAUGAAAUCACCGAAUACCCCAAUGGAUACACCACCGGUUAAAACUGUGCUGCCGACGGGUCGCGAACGGGCACGAUUGAGAUGGGUGACCGUGGAGCCGAUCUACGUGCUGGCGAUGAUUGGCAACACCUGCACGGCCCUCGUCAGGCCGCUCUACGUGAAGGAUGUAAUCAGCGAGUCUUACAACUACAACGAGACUAGCGACAACCAUACCAAGUGUGGCGCCGACCAGCCAAGUAACGGUACUUCGCUCAGCGACAAGAUACAAGCAGAGUCCGCCAUGUGGUUGUUGUAUCUCGCCGCUGCCUCUGGAGUUCCUGCCAUGCUUAGCACCAUCAUCUUCGGCUCUACCAGCGACAGACUCGGCAGGAAGCUGACGAUGGCUAUACCACUCAGCGCCUUCGCCAUCCAAGCUGCAGUGUACCUCUUCACGGUUAUCUUCAAGCUUCCUCUGGCCGUCCUCUUUACGGGCGAAGUCCUCCAAGGGCUGGCCGGCGGGUACGGACUCCUUUUCUCCUCCACCAACGCCUACCUGGCAGAUGCCACCUCGGAAAAACAGAGAACUAUCCGGAUCGUGGUCGCCGACAUGCUGCAGUAUCUCAGUGGAGGGUUGAAUCAACUAGGACAAGGCUAUCUGAUCAAAGUCGGUUAUAUCCCGUCCUUGGCGAUUGCAAUUGGGAGUAAUGUUGCUGCCCUGGUCUAUAUUGCAAUCCCACUCUGCCUGAUUGAGACCGUGGAAAGAGGUAGCAUAGAACACCAGGGAUUGCGGCAGGUUUGGCGGAGUAUGAAGAGGCUGGUAAUGUACAACGUGAACGGUCGGCGAUGGCAGAUGAUUCUUCUGACCCUGUACGUCUACUUCUGCAUCGGGCAGUUCAUCGGUGUCUCGGCCAUCUACGUGCUCUACGGUACCGGCAAGCCCUUCUGCUGGUUGUCUGAAACUGCUGGACUCGCCUCGUCACUUAUAUGGAUUUCUCUGGCUAUUGGUAUGCUGGUUGGUACCAAACUCUUCUCACUGUGUCUGGGAGACUACUGGCUGAUGCAGAUUAGCUGCCUCAGUUUUAUGGCCUCCUACCUCAUCAUGGGAUUAGCGAAGUCCACAGCGGUCCUCUACAUUGGUUUGUUAAGGCACUGUUUGUGAGAUUCUCACCUUACAACAGCCGUGACUGAUUAAGAGGUGUUACGGCCUUCCAUGAUAUGAACUUUUGUGGGCUGUCUUCGACUGAUGUCUCUCUCGGUUGCACGGUCGGUCCUCUCAAAGAUAUCCCACCCAGACGAGAU